CUGAGCCAGGAUCAAACUCUACCGUACGUAUAUACGACCGUACCGCAAACCGACACUGGUGCGCGAGAUGAGUAUUCUAAGGCGCUUGAGAGAACUCAGGAGAAGGAACUCGGCAAAUUGACACCGUAACUUCGGAAGAAGGUGUGCCCUAUUAGUGUGUAGUGAACAACGAAGCAUGAAUGGGUUGCAAAAAAUCGGUGGCUGCGACUGUUUAUUAAAAACACAGCACUCUGCAAACACGAAAGUGGACGUAUAGGGUGUGACGCCUGCCCGGUGCUGGAAGAUUAAAUGAUGGGGUGCAAGCUCUUGAUUGAAGUCCCAGUAAACGGCGGCCGUAACCAUAACGGUCCUAAGGUAGCGAAAUUCCUUGUCGGGUAAGUUCCGACCUGCACGAAUGGCGUAACGAUGGCCACACUGUCUCCUCCUGAGACUCAGCGAAGUUGAAAUGUUUGUGAUGAUGCAAUCUCCCCGCGGAAAGACGGAAAGACCCCAUGAACCUUUACUGUAGCUUUGUAUUGGACUUUGAACAGAUCUGUGUAGGAUAGGUGGGAGGCUUUGAAGCAGGGUCGCUAGAUCUUGUGGAGCCAACGUUGAAAUACCACCCUGGUGUGUUUGAGGUUCUAACCUAGGUCCAUUAUCUGGAUCGGGGACAGUGCAUGGUAGGCAGUUUGACUGGGGCGGCCUCCUCCCAAAGCGUAACGGAGGAGUUCGAAGGUACGCUAGUUACGGUCGGACAUCGUGACGAUAGUGCAAUGGCAUAAGCGUGCUUAACUGCGAGACUGACAAGUCGAGCAGAUGCGAAAGCAGGACAUAGUGAUCCGGUGGUUCUGUAUGGAAGGGCCAUCGCUCAACGGAUAAAAGGUACUCUGGGGAUAACAGGCUGAUACCGCCCAAGAGUUCAUAUCGACGGCGGUGUUUGGCACCUCGAUGUCGGCUCAUCUCAUCCUGGGGCUGUAGCCGGUCCCAAGGGUAUGGCUGUUCGCCAUUUAAAGAGGUACGUGAGCUGGGUUUAAAACGUCGUGAGACAGUUUGGUCCCUAUCUUCCGUGGGCGCUGCAGAUUUGAGGAAGCCUGCUCCUAGUACGAGAGGACCGGAGUGGACACACCUCUGGUGUAUCGGUUGUCACGCCAGUGGCAUUGCCGAGUAGCUAAGUGUGGAAGAGAUAACCGCUGAAAGCAUCUAAGCGGGAAACUCGUUUCAAGAUGAGAUCUGCCGGGGCCUUGAGCCCCCCUAAGAGUCGUUCAAGACCAGGACGUUGAUAGGUCAGGUGUGGAAGCCAAAAA
RNAcentral lists this ribosomal RNA (1283 nucleotides) under metagenome. RNAcentral describes it as "bacterial LSU rRNA". It matches the Rfam family "Bacterial large subunit ribosomal RNA", at positions 1603 to 2880 of the family's 2925-position model. The record is from RNAcentral.